AAAUAUGUAAUUAUUUAGUUUAUUAAUAGUAAUAAUUAUAAAAUAUUGUUUAAAAUAAAAAAAAUGAAAAAUUAUGUGAGAUAUUUGUGUGGAUAUCAAAAGAACACCUUUGAUGCUCCAGCUUUCGGAUUGGUGCCUGGUGAGGAGCUUUUCAUGACGUCGUCGACGAUUGGGCGAAUGCAGCUUUUGAGUUUUUAAUUCACGCACGUAUCGUGCAUGUUGAUCCAAAGUUUGACUUAACGAGUUUCGAGCUUUGGCACCAUGCUAAAAACCGAGAGGGAAUAUACCAAACGCAAAAGGUUUAAUGAAGAUGAUAAAAAUGGGAAUGGGGGUCGUGUUUUGCAUUUUUUUGCCUUUGAAGCUUCGGGUUGCGUACGUGGAACAGCACACCGCAAAAGCGUUUUGAUUAUGUGCGCGCAAAGGUUAAAAAGAAGCUCGCUGGAAUUGUGAAACACAAAAAGUCGCGUACAUUCCAUGAUGAAAACCUUUGAUCUACAUAAUUAUCAACACACAUCUUUCUUGUUACAGUUGAAAACAUGUCAAAUCAUGAUUUUAACAAUAAUUACAUAACUAUCGUGAUAAA
Long non-coding RNA from Dalotia coriaria, 583 nucleotides. RefSeq lists it as uncharacterized. The transcript is spliced from 2 exons. The record is from RefSeq and is a predicted model, not a curated record. NCBI's taxonomy places the organism in Eukaryota, Metazoa, Arthropoda, Insecta, Coleoptera, Staphylinidae.